This 454-nucleotide ribosomal RNA is filed under the name uncultured bacterium. RNAcentral's name for it is "partial 16S ribosomal RNA". It matches the Rfam family "Bacterial small subunit ribosomal RNA", at positions 28 to 507 of the family's 1533-position model. The record is from RNAcentral.
GAUGAACGCUGACAGAAUGCUUAACACAUGCAAGUCAACUUGAACUUCGGUUUGGGUGGCGGCCGGGUGAGUAACGCGUACAGAACUUGCCUCACAGCUAGGGACAACAUUUGGAAACGAAUGCUAAUACCUGAUAUUAUGAUUAUAUGGCAUCGUAUAAUUAUGAAAGCUAUAUGCGCUGUGAGAGAGCUUUGCGUCCCAUUAGCUAGUUGGAGAGGUAACAGCUCACCAAGGCGAUGAUGGGUAGCCGGCCUGAGAGGGUGAUCGGCCACAAGGGGACUGAGACACGGCCCGUACGCCUACGGGAGGCAGCAGUGGGGAAUAUUGGACAAUGGACCGAGAGUCUGAUCCAGCAAUUCGGUGUGCACGAUGAAGUUUUUCGGAAUGUAAAGUGCUUUCAGUUGGGAAGAAAAAAAUGACGGUACCAACAGAAGAAGUGACGGCUAAAUACGUG